Molecule: long non-coding RNA, 762 nt
Organism: Schistocerca cancellata (South American locust)
Lineage: Eukaryota; Metazoa; Arthropoda; Insecta; Orthoptera; Acrididae
Exons: 3
Source: RefSeq, a predicted model, not a curated record
AGGGGCCCUUAUCUCAAUCAGUCUGUUUAGUGGAACUCUAAAACUGGAAGAUUCAUUAAUUAGUGUUACAACCUGUUCUUCUGGGGCUGCCAUGGACCACUCCUGCCGGAUUUCAAACACCAGCAGCCUGGAGCAACUUCUGAAAAGAGACUGAAUCAGAAAGCAACUGUCCAUAUGAUGAAAGUGCAACAACUUUGGUGACUUCACCAGCACCAACAACUGUAUCAGUUAAACAACAGUUUACCAACACAGAAGAAAUAUCACAUGAUACCACUGAUUAUUUACAUGAAAAUUUCACAGAAAGAAAUUGCGAAAUUUUGAUUUGUAAGGGACCUGUGUAUCUUCAAAAUUCCGAAGAGCUGAGACGAAGUUGCAAAGAAUCUGCUGAAAUUUAUUAUGAAGACGUUAAUGGGCAAGGGUUAGAAGCAGAAUGUCUACAUUUAACAGAAUACUUGAAAAUUGUUCAUGGUAAAAAUGGGGGAAUUGACAGUAUAUUGGAAAUAUAUCACCUUUUGAAAGAAAACAAAAGUGAAAACACAUUUCCAAAUGUAGAAAUCACAUUGAGAAUCUUUUUAAGCAUGAUGGUAACCAACUGCAAUGCAGAACACUCCUCCUCCAAAUUAAAAAUAAUAAAAAAUGAGUUAAAAAGUACAAUGCUUCAAGAGAGAAUAACCAGUUUAUCGCUGAUAUCCAUAGAAGGUGAUAUGCUCAAAAAUAUAAAUUUUGAAGAAGUGAUGAACGAUUUUGCCCAUUUCAAAUCUA